GAGGGUAUAGCUCAAGUGGUAGAGUGCAUGCUUAGCAUGCAUGAGGUCCUAGAUUCAAUCUCCAGUACCUCCU
Transfer RNA from Camelus ferus (Wild Bactrian camel), 73 nucleotides. It matches the Rfam family "tRNA". From Rfam's summary of the family: Transfer RNA (tRNA) molecules are approximately 80 nucleotides in length. The record is from Rfam. Lineage: Eukaryota; Metazoa; Chordata; Mammalia; Artiodactyla; Camelidae.